UCCACUCUCCUCAAUCUCCUAACCGAGUGAGGGUUCCACUAACUUGAAGCUACAAUCAAGCUUUCAAUCGUCUUACACUUGGAUUCCGGCUCCAAUGGGCUCUUACACAAUCUCUUCAAGAUUUGAACCACUUGAAGGCUUUCACACUCAGUUUACACAAGGAUGAAACUCUCAACCUAGCUUAAGGAAGGCUCAAGUACAAGAGAAAGCUAGGAUGAAUUGCAAGAGUGCACUAAGAAUAUGCAAUUGAUGGUUUAAUGCACUAAGAAAGAAGAUGAGAGCUUUUUGAUCAAGAACAGGUAGGUAGGCUUUGAAUGCAAUUGUUCUCUUAGUCAUAAAUGAAUAGGAGCUCUCAAUUUAUAGGUUUCUAAGCUCGGGAGACAAAAACAGCAGAAAGUAGCCUCGACCGGACGAGCAAAGGGUCGACCGGAUCACUAGCCGUUGGAGCAUUUAAUGCAUAGCAGGUUACCGUUGCCUCGACCGGACUUCGACCGGACCUCGACCGGACCUCGACCGGACCUCGACCGAACAAAGGGUGAGGCUCGACCGGGAAGAGGAAGCUACUGGGAGAGAGAGAAAGUUUUUGUGUCUCCCUCGACCGGACCUCGACCGGACAAGGGAAACCGGUCGACCGGUUCCCCAACCGGUUGAGCCGGUUGGCCAUAGCCUCGACCGGAUGAGCCUUUUGGCCCUGAAAACCUAUCCUUUUUUAUUUCUUUCUUUU
This 724-nucleotide long non-coding RNA is filed under the name Vitis vinifera (wine grape). RNAcentral describes it as "long non-coding RNA (VVIN_LNC004566)". The record is from RNAcentral. Lineage: Eukaryota; Viridiplantae; Streptophyta; Magnoliopsida; Vitales; Vitaceae.